Molecule: long non-coding RNA, 482 nt
Filed under: Cyanistes caeruleus (blue tit)
Lineage: Eukaryota; Metazoa; Chordata; Aves; Passeriformes; Paridae
Description: lncRNA (ENSCCEG00000012352.1)
Source: RNAcentral
CACAGAGAGGAGAUGAAUAUUUUCCUAGAGAAUGAAAUAAAGUAGUAAAGCAGAGAAAAUCCCAGGAGCACAGCGUCACUUGCCGCAUACAGAUGAUCCUGUUGUUCCAGGUGUAAAGACUCUGCAUGACGUUGUAGAAAAGAAAACUGAUUUUGGGUGCACCAAAAUGAGGAAAGUGAGAUGGAGUAAUGGAUUUCUUCUCGUUUUGUGAGCAAGUUCCCUAUCUGCCUUGCUGCUUUCAGGAUGAAGACAACAAUGAAGAAGAAGAAGAGCAGAACUUUCUGAAACUAGUGACUGGACAGUAGAAUGUUAGAUGAAACUCGAUGCAGGUAAAGCAGACUUUCUUACUGACAGACCAAACUGGCAUAGGCUCAUGCAGGAAGGGGACUGGGAACAUGUGGCUGGAGAUAAAGGGGGCACCCACAGCAGCUGACAUUCUCAGCAGUUCAUGCAGAAUUGUGUGACUAACAGUAUGGAGCAGA